Molecule: small nucleolar RNA, 126 nt
Organism: Pseudophryne corroboree (corroboree frog)
Lineage: Eukaryota; Metazoa; Chordata; Amphibia; Anura; Myobatrachidae
Product: small nucleolar RNA SNORA40
Exons: 1
Source: RefSeq, a predicted model, not a curated record
UGUAGUUGUGUUGGUUUGUCCUACAUGUAGGGGCAGAUGUAAUACAAGUGCUGAGACAAACACCUUCUCUUGCAACCCACAACUACUUGAUUUGUAGGAGUUGUGUUACUAAUGGGGAGGGACAUG